This 386-nucleotide ribosomal RNA is filed under the name uncultured bacterium. RNAcentral's name for it is "bacterial SSU rRNA". It matches the Rfam family "Bacterial small subunit ribosomal RNA", at positions 28 to 408 of the family's 1533-position model. The record is from RNAcentral.
GAUGAACGCUAGCGGGAGGCUUAAUACAUGCAAGUCGAGGGGUAACAGGGGCUUCGGCCCGCUGACGACCGGCGCACGGGUGAGUAACGCGUACGCAACUUACCUCCAAGCGAGGGAUAGCCCUGGGAAACUGGGAUUAAUACCUCAUGUGAUUAUGAUGCCGCAUGGUGUUAUAAUUAAAGUUCAGGCGCUUGGAGAUGGGCGUGCGUCCUAUUAGCUAGUUGGUGAGGUAACGGCUCACCAAGGCGACGAUAGGUAGGGGGCGUGAGAGCGUGGCCCCCCACACGGGUACGUGAGACACGGACCCGACUCCUACGGGAGGCAGCAGUAAGGAAUAUUGGACGAAUGGGCGGCAAGACCUGAUCCAGCCAUCCCGCCGUGCAGGA